Molecule: RNA transcript, 1134 nt
Organism: Seriola aureovittata
Lineage: Eukaryota; Metazoa; Chordata; Actinopteri; Carangiformes; Carangidae
Exons: 6
Source: RefSeq, a predicted model, not a curated record
CCUGUUGGCCUGAAGGGACUGUAGCAUAUUCUUUUUUGUCAUCUCAAAACAACAUGCUGCUUGGAUUUUUUCUGCUGUUCUUCUUCUGUGAGAGCACAGUCACAUUCUCGACUACAAAAUGGCCUAUUUACUUUACUUCCCUGAACACACCUCAAACUACAAUGACAGAAAUGCUAUCUCCGCUGCUGGCGGUGGCCACACCAGACUACCCUGUUGCAGCAGGUCAAACAGUCAACCUGCACUGCAGUGCUUUCUCCAUGCCGUCACUUGUCAAUUGGUCCUGGCAACACCUAGAAAAUAUGGCCUGGCAACAGGUGGGCAGCGAGAUGGACCUGACCCUCACCGAGCCAAAGCAAAGUGGGCUGUACCGCUGCUGUGCUAAGACCAAGUUAUAUCAGGUUGUGAGCCAUAACCUCACAGUCUAUAUCAUCGACAUGCAGCCAACAGCCUUUCACCUCCAAUUCUGUGCUGUUUCCCCUACUGAAAAUAGUGGGUGAGAAUUUAGGAAUAGCUGCCAUCGUCCUUUCUCUCCUGGCCUUGAUCAUCAUCCUCACUAUUCUGAUUUGGUUGGGCUUGCAAAGAGUUGGUGGCACAAUGACCAUCUCUAACACUGCAGCUAAAGGUUUUCCAGGACCUGAAAAGGCACCAAAGGGAGAUUUCCCACAGACAGAAAGCGAUGGAGAUGUGUACAUGAAUUACACAAACACCAACCAAGCCUACACUAAUCUGGACCCAACCAAUAUGAGUGGGGAUAAUGUCUACUCAAGUCUGUCAUGAACACCCAAAGGGAAGGUGGAGACGUGCAAUAAAAAGAGGAAGAGUGACAGAACAUUUUGUUCAGCAGCAGAUUACAGUUCGUUAAUAUCUUGCAUGUACAGCUCAGCGUCAUGUUUAACCUGACAGAGAUGGUUUACCAUAUGCUGUGAAGUUUUUCAGUGUGUGCGUUACCUUGAAGUGUAUGCUUUGUUCGAUUUAAUCUAACCUCACAAUCAACAUUCACCAUCUGAAUGUGGUAAAAAAAAGAAGACACACACAUCUGUAGUUCUAGGUAUGUGGAAAUGUUCCCACCAAACAGUAACCCUCCCCUUUCUCUUUAUACUGGCUAAUAAAACCUGUAAUGUCUACAAAGAUGAA